AGGCAGUUAGUUUAAUUAAAAUACUUGAUUUCGGCUCAAUAGAUGUGGUUAGACCCCACAACUGCCCA
This 68-nucleotide transfer RNA is filed under the name Gazza minuta (toothpony). Its description in RNAcentral is "tRNA-Arg". It matches the Rfam family "tRNA". From Rfam's summary of the family: Transfer RNA (tRNA) molecules are approximately 80 nucleotides in length. The record is from RNAcentral. Lineage: Eukaryota; Metazoa; Chordata; Actinopteri; Chaetodontiformes; Leiognathidae.